Molecule: ribosomal RNA, 159 nt
Filed under: uncultured bacterium
Lineage: Bacteria
Description: partial 16S ribosomal RNA
Rfam family: Bacterial small subunit ribosomal RNA
Source: RNAcentral
UGAGGAAUAUUGGUCAAUGGGCGCGAGCCUGAACCAGCCAAGUCGCGUGAGGGAAGACGGUCCUAUGGAUUGUAAACCUCUUUUGUCGGGGAGCAAAAGAAGUCACGUGUGACUAAAAGUGAGAGUACCCGAAGAAAAAGCAUCGGCUAACUCCGUGCC